This 226-nucleotide unclassified non-coding RNA is filed under the name uncultured fungus. RNAcentral describes it as "sequence contains ITS1, 5.8S rRNA gene". The stretch from base 178 to 226 matches the Rfam family "5.8S ribosomal RNA", at positions 1 to 49 of the family's 154-position model. Lineage: Eukaryota; Fungi. The record is from RNAcentral.
UCUCCGUAGGUGAACCUGCGGAGGGAUCAUUACCGAGUGAGGGCUCACGCCCGACCUCCAACCCUUUGUGAACACAUCUUGUUGCUUCGGGGGCGACCCUGCCGUUUCGACGGCGAGCGCCCCCGGAGGCCUUCAAACACUGCAUCUUUGCGUCGGAGUUUAACACAAAUGAAACAAAACUUUCAACAACGGAUCUCUUGGUUCUGGCAUCGAUGAAGAACGCAGC